RNAcentral lists this long non-coding RNA (1202 nucleotides) under Homo sapiens (human). RNAcentral's name for it is "HSALNT0115658". Lineage: Eukaryota; Metazoa; Chordata; Mammalia; Primates; Hominidae. The record is from RNAcentral.
CCAGUGUCUCGCAGUCAGAGGGCAGCCAGCACUCCUGGUGCCCUGCGAAGGCAUGGCCGUCCACUGAGGAUGAAGCGAGCGGCGCAGAGGAUACCACAAUGCAGGCAGAGCCACGGGCAUCACAGUGACUGUGCAGGCCUGAGGCCCAUGGAGCCCUGGCCACCCCGGACAACAUCAGUCCCGCGACGGAGGCUGGCAUCACCGUGGGUGGACACACGAGAAUUAUGUGGCAAACGGCAGAAUAGAGGGAGAGGUGAAGUCAGGCCAUACUUGCAACCUACCACACCAGGUUCAAAAUCACCAGAUAGAUCAAUAAGUCAGCUUGAAAUACUCUAGAAGCCAGCCUUCAGAAGACCUCCAGCCAAACCAGGAAGUGGCAUCCAAAGCUGACACGGGCUGACUUCCAAAGAGCAGACAGAGAGGCGAAGAAACGGAUUAAAAAUUCUGAGUUUGCCUACAAGGGUGGAUUCUGGAACAAAGUGGCCUGGAGCCUCUGACACUUUUCCUAGAAUAUCACCUUUCUGAUGACAGCCAUCUCUGUAAUUACAAUGAUAAUUGCUUCCAAUGUAAAAUACCACUUAUCUGGCUAGAAGAGCUGUCUGGGUCAAGGCAAAAAACAGAAAAUAAAACAAACAAAAAAACAAUGUUCAAUUUCUUGUUGUCAAAUGAAUAAUGUUAUCAUCAUUAAACCAAUUCUAGAGGAUAAUCUGGUGGAGGAAGGUGGCUUAAUUUAGGACUGGCGGGGACAUCAAACUAAAUAUAAGUGUUGUGUGUUCCACGCACCGGAAGUCCUUCCUCAAUGUUUACAGUGAGACACCAAAAGUAAAAGACAGGACCCAAGCCCAGGGCAUUGGGAGGGAAGCAAGAAGGGACUCAAAUGCCACAGAAUGGAAGGCAGGAUUCCACAGAUGUGAGCAAUUUAUCUCAAAACAAGCAUUUCAAAAGGCUGAGAAAAGAGAGAGAGACAGAGAGUGAGACCCCGCCCCCCAUUUUCACAGUAUUAUAAGUGGGCUGCCUUUCCCAAGGUCCUGCCAUGUCAGGGUCUUUGUGUGUGUGCAUGUGUGUCCGUGUGUGUGUGCAUAUGUGUGUGUGUGCCCACACGAGUGUGUGUGCAUUUGUGUCCAUGUGUGUGCACACGCCAGUGUGUGCACGCGCGAGUAUGUGUAUGCAAGCAUGUGUGCGUGUGUGUGUGUGUGUCUGUG